This is a non-coding RNA of Salvia hispanica, 801 nucleotides long. NCBI's taxonomy places the organism in Eukaryota, Viridiplantae, Streptophyta, Magnoliopsida, Lamiales, Lamiaceae. The record is from RefSeq and is a predicted model, not a curated record.
UGAAGGAAAGCUCUUACUACAUAGCCUGAAUAUUUGUUUUGGAAAUCGACCCAAAAUUUAUCAAUGUUACAUGGAGUAUUGUUCUAAUAUACAUAGGGCUUGAAUGGUAGGGCUGAAAGUCCCUGAAAAGGUGAAAAGGCACUGUUCACCACCACGUUCCCCUGUUUGGUAGCUAUGAAAACCAACUUUGUGUACCCGGUAAAACACCUUAUGGUUUCAGGCUCUCAGCGUUAACUAACGUGGAGGUUGGUGUAGCUCUAGUGGGAGCAGCACCAGAUGGCUGAAUCGUCAACCCCUGCAUUCGAAUUUCACUAGACUGCGGAAUUGUAAAUGAUUUUCGCAUCAGUUGGCAUCCUCUCGUUUCAAAGGUCAUUCUUGCAGGCUGGUCGAUUUGAUAUUGGCUCUCACCAAAAGUCAAUGUGAUGUAAACUGCUCAAAGAGAUAGCACCAGCAAAUGUAUUUUCCCAGUCUUUGUGCCUUGCACUAAAAUCAGAGGUGGGAGACGAGACUUGUAUGCGUUUAGAACGGACAUGGGCGCGAUGGGGACUUGAGGGAAGUAGUAGCAACAUCCCACAUGAAGCCGGCCAGCAGGAACAAGACAAGAGCAAUAAUAAUUGAAGAUUUGGAGUGAAUAAUGAAUCACUUUAUGGUAUGUACACUUAUUUGUGGGCAAUGAUAAAAGCAACCCACUCCAUUACUGUUGAAAUAUGUAUAAAAUUGCCAGUGCAAAGCCAUUUCCAGAUUGUCAGUGUUUGAGUCCCACAAAAAGAUGAAACUUUCAUACUCACCUUCAAAAGUGAU